AUUUCUUAGCGGCGGACGGGUGCGUAACACGUGGGUAACCUGCCCCUAUCACCGGGAUAACACACUGAAAAGUGUGCUAAUACCGGAUAACAUAAUCUUAUGGCAUCAUAAGAUGAUCAAAGCGUUAGCGGAUAAGGAUGGGCCCGCGUCUGAUUAGCUAGUUGGUAGGGUAACGGCUUACCAAGGCAACGAUCAGUAGCCGACCUGAGAGGGUGAUCGGCCACACUGGAACUGUGACACGGUCCAGACUCCUACGGGAGGCAGCAGUGGGGAAUAUUGCACAAUGGGAGAAAGCCUGAUGCAGCAACGCCGCGUGAGCGAUGAAGGCCUUCGGGUCGUAAAGCUCUGUCCUAUGGGAAGAUAAUGACGGUACCAUAGGAGGAAGCCCCGGCUAACUACGUGCCAGCAGCCGCGCUAAUACGUAGGGGGCAAGCGUUAUCCGGAAUUACUGGGCGUAAAGGGUGCGUAGGCGGUUUAUCAAGUCAGGGGUGAAAGGCUACGGCUCAACCGUAGUAAGCCUCUGAAACUGGUGAACUUGAGUGUAGGAGAGGAAAGUGGAAUUCCCAGUGUAGCGGUGAAAUGCGUAGAUAUUGGGAGGAACAGCAGUGGCGAAGGCGACUUUCUGGAC
Molecule: ribosomal RNA, 628 nt
Filed under: uncultured bacterium
Lineage: Bacteria
Description: bacterial SSU rRNA
Rfam family: Bacterial small subunit ribosomal RNA
Source: RNAcentral